This 581-nucleotide ribosomal RNA is filed under the name uncultured bacterium. RNAcentral's name for it is "bacterial SSU rRNA". It matches the Rfam family "Bacterial small subunit ribosomal RNA", at positions 338 to 916 of the family's 1533-position model. The record is from RNAcentral.
CCUACGGGAGGCAGCAGUUAAGAAUCUUGCGCAAUGGGGGAAACCCUGACGCAGCGACGCCGCGUGAAGGAUGAAGGCUUUCGGGUUGUAAACUUCGGUAGACUGGGAAGAAAAAGUAAGUUCGUUGAGGGCUUACAUUGACGGUACCAGUCUGAAGCCCCGGCUAAUUACGUGCCAGCAGCCGCGUAAUACGUAUGGGGCAAGCGUUGUUCGGAAUUAUUGGGCGUAAAGGGCUCGCAGGUGGUUUGUUAAGUUGGUGGUUUAAUCUCUGGGCUCAACCCAGAGUCAGCCAUCAAAACUGGCGAACUUGAGUACGAUAGGGGAUAGCGGAAUUCUCGGUGUAGCGGUGGAAUGCGUAGAUAUCGAGAGGACACCAAUGGCGAAGGCAGCUAUCUGGAUCGUAACUGACACUCAUGAGCGAAAGUGCGGGGAGCAAACAGGAUUAGAUACCCUGGUAGUCCGCACCGUAAACGUUGUAUACUAGUUGUUGGUGGUUUCAACGCCAUCAGUGACGUCCUAACGCAUUAAGUAUACCGCCUGGGGAGUAUGCUCGCAAGGGUGAAACUCAAAGGAAUUGACGG